RNAcentral lists this ribosomal RNA (492 nucleotides) under uncultured bacterium. RNAcentral describes it as "partial 16S ribosomal RNA". It matches the Rfam family "Bacterial small subunit ribosomal RNA", at positions 29 to 507 of the family's 1533-position model. The record is from RNAcentral.
AGUGAACGCUGGCGGUAGGCCUAACACAUGCAAGUCGAACGGCAGCACAGUAAGAGCUUGCUCUUACGGGAGGCGAGUGGCGGACGGGUGAGGAAUACAUCGGAAUCUACUUUUUCGUGGGGGAUAACGUAGGGAAACUUACGCUAAUACCGCAUACGACCUACGGGUGAAAGCAGGGGAUCUUCGGACCUUGCGCGAUUGAAUGAGCCGAUGUCGGAUUAGCUAGUUGGCGGGGUAAAGGCCCACCAAGGCGACGAUCCGUAGCUGGUCUGAGAGGAUGAUCAGCCACACUGGAACUGAGACACGGUCCAGACUCCUACGGGAGGCAGCAGUGGGGAAUAUUGGACAAUGGGCGCAAGCCUGAUCCAGCCAUACCGCGUGGGUGAAGAAGGCCUUCGGGUUGUAAAGCCCUUUUGUUGGGGAAGAAAAGCAGCAGGUUAAUACCCCGCUGUUCUGACGGUACCCAAAGAAUAAGCACCGGCUAACUUCGUG